CCGAGUUUGCAAAACUCCCAAACCCAAUGUGAACCUUACCGAAUCGUUGCUUCGGCGGGAACGCCCCGGGCCACGCCGCCCGGAUACAGGCGCCCGCCGGAGGCCCGAAAACUCUCGUGUUUCUCCCAGCGGAAUCAAGUCUGAGUGGCCCACAGCGGGCGAGAAAAGAAAAUGAAUCA
Molecule: unclassified non-coding RNA, 179 nt
Filed under: uncultured Hypomyces
Lineage: Eukaryota; Fungi; Ascomycota; Sordariomycetes; Hypocreales; Hypocreaceae
Description: sequence contains ITS1
Source: RNAcentral